Molecule: ribosomal RNA, 242 nt
Filed under: uncultured bacterium
Lineage: Bacteria
Description: partial 16S ribosomal RNA
Rfam family: Bacterial small subunit ribosomal RNA
Source: RNAcentral
UACGGAGGGUCCAAGCGUUAUCCGGAAUCAUUGGGUUUAAAGGGUCCGUAGGCGGUUUUGUAAGUCAGUGGUGAAAGCCCAUCGCUCAACGGUGGAACGGCCAUUGAUACUGCAAGACUUGAAUUAUUGGGAAGCAACUAGAAUAUGUAGUGUAGCGGUGAAAUGCUUAGAUAUUACAUGGAAUACCAAUUGCGAAGGCAGGUUGCUACCAAUACAUUGACGCUGAUGGACGAAAGCGUGGG